GUGGCGAAAGCGGCUCUNUGGUCUGUCACUGACGCUGAGGCUNGAAAGCGUGGGUAGCGGACAGGAUUAGAUACCCUGGUAGUNCACGCCGUAAACGAUGAGUGCUAGGUGUUAGGCCCUUUCCGGGGCUUAGUGCCGGAGCUAACGCAAUAAGCACUCCGCCUGGGGAGUACGACCGCAAGGUUGAAACUCAAAGGAAUUGACGGGGGCCCGCACAAGCGGUGGAGCAUGUGGUUUAAUUCGAAGCAACGCGAAGAACCUUACCAGGUCUUGACAUCCCGAUGCUAUUCUUAGAGAUAGGAAGUUACUUCGGUACAUCGGAGACAGGUGGUGCAUGGUUGUCGUCAGCUCGUGUCGUGAGAUGUUGGGUUAAGUCCCGCAACGAGCGUAACCCUUAUUGUUAGUUGCCAUCAUUAAGUUGGGCACUCUAGCGAGACUGCCGGUAAUAAACCGGAGGAAGGUGGGGAUGACGUCAAAUCAUCAUGCCCCUUAUGACCUGGGCUACACACGUGCUACAAUGGUCGGUACAAUGAGUUGCGAGCCGGUGACGGCAAGCUAAUCUCUGAAAGCCGAUCUCAGUUCGGAUUGGAGGCUGCAACUCGCCUCCAUGAAGUCGGAAUCGCUAGUAAUCGCGGAUCAGCACGCCGCGGUGAAUACGUUCCCGGGCCUUGUACACACCGCCCGUCACACCACGAGAGUUUGUAACACCCGAAGUCGGUGAGGUAACCUUUUAGGGGCCAGCCGCCUAAGGUGGGANGGA
This 760-nucleotide ribosomal RNA is filed under the name uncultured bacterium. Its description in RNAcentral is "bacterial SSU rRNA". It matches the Rfam family "Bacterial small subunit ribosomal RNA", at positions 712 to 1471 of the family's 1533-position model. The record is from RNAcentral.